GAAGUAAUUUACACGAUCGGAUGCACGACAAAGAAGAUGGCACAGGUGUUGGCAGUACCAGGAGAUGUUAGACAUGGAUUUUCUUAUUAUGGCCAAUUCAACCACGACUUCGGCCGAAUAACUGGGAUAGCAGUUACAAUUAAGGGGAACAUUAUAUUAUGUGACUAUGAUAAAAAGAAUCUGAUAUUAGUUGAUCCUCUUGGAAAUUAUUUAAAGAAGCUUAACUUAGACAGUGAACCAUAUGAUGUGGAUAUAACAAGUCAAAAUAUAGGCUAUGUAACGCAACCUAACUCCAGAUCGGUCUUACAGAUAGACCCUGACAGUAUGAUCGUACUAUUCCAAGCAACAUGCAACGAAGUAGGCACUACCGUGUUUUGUGUUUCAGCAGUCCCAAAUACUGGAAGGUGUUUUACAGAAAAAGUUUCAUGUUAUCUUGGCGUUAAAAUACAUGCAUUUUUGUAUGCAUUUCCUGUAAAUUUUGAUCAAAUUAACAUCACAGGCGUAGAAGAAAAUGGAUACGAAAUUGGUUCAUGUGUUUUAAAAUUCCAUACAGUUAAUGAAGAUUCUUGGUUAUCUUGCAUAGGAGGUCAAAACUAUAUUACGUAUAACGAAGGAUUGGAAAAUCGAAUUAAGAUAGAUAAUAUUGCCACCAUAGAUACACCCAAUGACAUAUGCUCCGACGACAACGGUCACAUCUAUGUCAGUGGACAGGGAUCGAACAACAUCCACAGACUAGCAGGAUAUUUGAAUCGGCAGAUCGGAAAAUUUGAAACGGAAAAGAAUUGGAAAGUAUUAGACAUACCAUUGGAUUCAAAACAUGGAAUCAAGGAACCUGUUGCCUUGUGCUUCAACCAAGACUAUAGUAAACUGUAUAUUGUCAACGAAUGGGGGAAAUCGGUUUUGGUAUUUGAUGUUUUUUGAUGAUUCAUUACAAAUACUUUGGAUUCAUAAUUAUUCGUGGGGUACCAAUUUUUGUAAUUUUCGUUGGUAUAGCCAAACCACGAAUUUGAAUGUUCAACAAAGUAUAAAUUUCUUUAGACUUGUAUGCAAUCUGGUAAAACCUUGAAAAUAAAUAUCCGCGAAAAUAAAUGAAGUUUCCCAAAUCAACAAAAAUUGAUACCCACAAAAAUAAAGGAAUCCACAAUACAUUUUUUCUGUUUCAUUUAAUAUUAUUGUCUGUUGAUUAUAAUUUAAAAAAAACUAGUUUAUAUAUGUGCGAUAUAUAAACAAUGCACAUCCACAGUGAGAUCGGCAUCUUGCAAACAAUCAUAUUGCUUCCAAUUGUCAAAAUUAAACAGAAAUCAUUUAGUAUUUAUUUAUCGAAUUGAACUGAUUAGAAUUGGAAGACCUUUGUUAUUGGUUAGUGAUAUUCAAUAAUAAAAUGAAUUGGGAUAAAUUUAGUAUAUUCUCCAUUGGCACUGAAGCUACAGGUAUAUGUCAUAGUAGUCUCGGCUUGCCACUUCGAACUGCUUAUCUUCAUUCUUGUUUUACUUCAAUGAGAAUCAUGUUGGUUAUUUGUGCUUCUUAUAUUUAUCUCAUCAUGCAAUAUCAUACAUAAAUGAAUUAUAUAGCAUAGUUUAUUAAAUAUGAAUCCACUACUAAUGAGAUAGAAGGAUACGUUUAAAAUAAAACAAGAGGCUCUCAAGAGCCUGAAUCGCUCACCUGUUAUUUUUUGCUUAAAAUCUUUCCACAAUGAUAAUUUUGCUUUUUAAUAUAUAUAUUAAUGAGUGUCUUAAAAAUUCCAUUUAAAUGUUCUUUGUAUCUGUCAUAUUUUCUUCAAAAGCGAAAAAAAUGCAUUUUACCCCCACUGUUCCAUUUUAGUCAUAGUGGUUAUGUUUCUUGACGUACAAGGAAAUAAAAAACAAAAUUUAUACUAGAUAUUCUGAAACUCAAUCAGCCAAAGUUUUGCUGAAAUUGAUUCAGCAAUUUUAAAGCAAGCAAACAAGAUGAACAAAUUCAAAAAAACUGUCUUUAAAGGGCAGUAACUCCUUAAGGGGUCGAUUGACAAUUUUGGUCAUAAAAACUUUUUUGUAGAUCUUACUUUGCUGAACAUUUUGCUAAUUACAGUUUAUCUUUAUCAUUAUUAAUAUUCAAGAUAAUAACUAAAAACUUCAAAAUUUCCUGAAAAUUACCAAUUUAGUGGCAGCAACCCAACAAUGGGUUGUUAGAUUCAUCUGAAAAUUUCAUGGCUGAUAGAACUUGACCUAAUGAACAAUUUUACUUCAUAUCAGAUGUGCUCUAAAUGCUAAAGUGUUUGAGAUACAAGCCAAAAACUGCAUUUUACCCCUAUGUUCUAUUUUAGCCAUGGCAGCCAUGUUUUUAGAUGAAACAGAAAAUAAAACACAAACUUUAUUCUAGAUACCCUAAGAAUCAUUCAGCUUAAGUUUGAUUGGAAUUGGUUUAGUAGUUUCAGAGGAGAGGAAUUUUCAAAGUUAGAAAACAUGAUAAACAAAUUGUGAAAAAUUGUCCUUAAAAUGCAAUAACUCCUUAAGGGGUCAAUUGACAAUUUUGGUCAUAUCAACUUAUUUGUAGAUCUUACUUUGCUGAACAUUUUUGCUGUUUACAGUUUAUCUUUAUCAUUAAUAUUAUUCAAAAUAAUAACCAAAAACUGCAAAAUUUCCUUAAAAUUACCAAUUUAGUGGCAGCAACCCAACAAUGGGUUAUCAGAUUCAUCUGAAAAUUUCAGGGCUCAUAAAACUUUACCUAAUGAACACUUUUAUCCCGUUAGAUUUGCUCUAAAUGCUUUGGUUUUUGAGAUAUAAGCCAAAAACUGCAUUUUACCCCUAUGUUCUAUUUUUUAGCCAUGGCAGCCAUGUUUUUUGACGAAACAGAAAAUAAAACACAAAUUUUAUUCUAGAUACCCUAAGGAUCAUUCAGCUAAAAUUUUGGUAGGAAUUGGUUCUGCAGUUUUAGAGGAAAAGAUGUUCUAAAUAGUUUACACCAGACGGACAACGACGACGGACGCCAAGUGAUGGCAAAAGCUCACCGUUCCGAAGUGAUUUAUUUGUAGCUCGAUAUUGAUAUGUUCUAAUCACAUAGAAUGUGAUAUAUUUUUGUUUCGCUAUUUGGGUUCCUUUUUUUUGUUUCUUGUGACUGUCUAAAAAGUUAGUAUAUAUAAUUGUAGCUGUUAUGUUAAACUUCAUUUACUAUAUUUUUAUGUUAAUUUUGACACGUUGAUUAUCACCCUAACAUGAAUAAUGACCAAACAAAUAACCAAAUAUCGAUAAUAAUGUUUCAUAAAUUAUUAGCUAAGAUGAAGAGAAAAAUUGAAAGUCGUUUUCUCUUACAAGUCAUAAGUGUUAUAUUAUUAUAUGGAUGUUGAUUUAACAGUAGUUUUAAUUGUAGUAUAACAGCAGCAAUUGUGUAAAGGUUCGGUUCGAUGUUGGAAAUUAACACAUGCUACACAAUGAAUUGAGAAUAAACUUUUAACAAUAAAAGAGAAUGAUUCAACACAACUAUGUUGGAAAUUGACCCAUGCUAAAACUGAAUUAAAUAGUAAUUUUUUUUUCUUUGUUAGUCUCGUCUCAAUAUUAUUUUCGUUUUGAUAUUGCUAUACACUUUUUUCACAUUAAAUUGUAAAUACUA
Molecule: long non-coding RNA, 3585 nt
Organism: Mytilus californianus (California mussel)
Lineage: Eukaryota; Metazoa; Mollusca; Bivalvia; Mytilida; Mytilidae
Exons: 3
Source: RefSeq, a predicted model, not a curated record